CUAUAUUCUGGCUUAGAAUGUUGUUAUACUACAGAGGUUAAUAGACUACCAAUAAGGCUUUCUUCCCGCCCCCCCCCUUGUUUGUUUUGUUCUUCUUUGCUAAAAACCACUCUCACUGGCAAGAAUAUAGGCAACAUUUACACCUCCCUCUUAACAGCAGAGGGGAAAGGGACCUGCUAACCUUUCUAAGGAGCCUAGGGCAGUGUUGUGCUUCUCAAUGGAAAGGUCUUCUCGAAUUAAUUAAAGUCACUUUCCCCGCUGAGGACCAGCUUUGCUUUGAAGGGGCAUCAGAACACUGAGGACUCUCACUCUUCCUGCUCCAGAGGAAGAGGGCUAUAAACGCUUGAAAAAACACAGUUGGGAGAAUAAUUGGAAGUGAAUUCGAUGUCUUCAUCCUCUGAGGAUGCGAGUGCAUGUGCCUGCUGGAAAUUACUCUUUCACAAAAUGUGUAUGUCUCUGGAUUUGAGCUUCCCUGGGCUGUGGAGCUGACCCUAACCUCUUUUGAAGUCUCUGAUCACCCUGGAUCUGAUCAGAUGCGCCAGAGUGAAUUGGGUAAGAAAGAAGACAAGAGGUCAUUAACUGCUCAGUUUCAGACCAUUUUCAGCGAGUCACAAGGAUCGCCAAAGGAGUUCCAACUCUCCAUUCAUAGCAACCAUAUUCUGUAAUAAAAGAUCAAAUGCUUCUGGUUACUGGACUGAAAAGAAUCAAAUUCUCCCAACUUUUUAGCACUUCAUGUUCCUUGGGUAUCUGCUGUCAGCUGUAGCUCAUUGAGUUGCCUGAUUCACCGAGGACUAUAAACUGCCACCCAAGCAAAGAGCUUCUGAUAUUAAAAAAAAAAAAAAAAGAUUUCCCUUUGAAUGUAUGCAUGUUCUUUGCCUGCGUGUGCGUGUGUGUGUGUG
RNAcentral lists this long non-coding RNA (899 nucleotides) under Mus spicilegus (steppe mouse). Its description in RNAcentral is "lncRNA (ENSMSIG00000026552.1)". Lineage: Eukaryota; Metazoa; Chordata; Mammalia; Rodentia; Muridae. The record is from RNAcentral.